Molecule: ribosomal RNA, 430 nt
Filed under: Bacteroidota bacterium
Lineage: Bacteria; Pseudomonadati; Bacteroidota
Description: Bacteroidetes bacterium partial 16S ribosomal RNA
Rfam family: Bacterial small subunit ribosomal RNA
Source: RNAcentral
UAGGGAAUCUUCGGCAAUGGGGGGAACCCUGACCGAGCAACGCCGCGUGAGUGAAGAAGGUUUUCGGAUCGUAAAGCUCUGUUGUUAAGGAAGAACGAGUGUGAGAAUGGAAAGUUCAUACUGUGACGGUACUUAACCAGAAAGCCACGGCUAACUACGUGCCAGCAGCCGCGGUAAUACGUAGGUGGCAAGCGUUGUCCGGAUUUAUUGGGCGUAAAGCGAGCGCAGGCGGUCAAUUAAGUCUGAUGUGAAAGCCCCCGGCUCAACCGGGGAGGGUCAUUGGAAACUGGUUGACUUGAGUGCAGAAGAGGAGAGUGGAAUUCCAUGUGUAGCGGUGAAAUGCGUAGAUAUAUGGAGGAACACCGGUGGCGAAAGCGGCUCUCUGGUCUGUAACUGACGCUGAGGCUCGAAAGCGUGGGGAGCGAACAGG